Molecule: ribosomal RNA, 618 nt
Filed under: Phormidium sp. EucYyyy200
Lineage: Bacteria; Bacillati; Cyanobacteriota; Cyanophyceae; Oscillatoriales; Oscillatoriaceae
Description: bacterial SSU rRNA
Rfam family: Bacterial small subunit ribosomal RNA
Source: RNAcentral
AUACUCCAGUGGCGGACGGGUGAGUAACGCGUGAGAAUCUGCCUUCUGGUCGGGGACAACCACUGGAAACGGUGGCUAAUACCGGAUGAGCCGAAGGGUAAAAGAUUAAUUGCCAGAAGAGGAGCUCGCGUCUGAUUAGCUAGUUGGUGGGGUAAAGGCUCACCAAGGCAUCGAUCAGUAGCUGGUCUGAGAGGACGAUCAGCCACACUGGGACUGAGACACGGCCCAGACUCCUACGGGAGGCAGCAGUGGGGAAUUUUCCGCAAUGGGCGAAAGCCUGACGGAGCAAGACCGCGUGAGGGAAGAAGGCUCUUGGGUCGUAAACCUCUUUUGUUAGGGAAGAACACAAUGACGGUACCUAACGAAUCAGCCUCGGCUAACUCCGUGCCAGCAGCCGCGGUAAUACGGAGGAGGCAAGCGUUAUCCGGAAUUAUUGGGCGUAAAGCGUCCGCAGGUGGCUAUUCAAGUCUGCGGUCAAAGACUGGGGCUUAACCCUGGAAAGGCCGUGGAAACUGAAGAGCUAGAGUGCAGUAGGGGUAGAGGGAAUUCCCGGUGUAGCGGUGAAAUGCGUAGAGCUCGGGAAGAACAUCGGUGGCGAAAGCGCUCUGCUGGACUGCA